RNAcentral lists this long non-coding RNA (733 nucleotides) under Capsella grandiflora. RNAcentral's name for it is "long non-coding RNA (CGRA_LNC000231)". The record is from RNAcentral. Lineage: Eukaryota; Viridiplantae; Streptophyta; Magnoliopsida; Brassicales; Brassicaceae.
GUAGAGAAGGAAGUAAGCCCAAGUCACACCAGAGAUCCCUCCAAAGAAGAACCCUCCUGUGAACUUACCCCAUCCCUCAGCCGUUUGAAGCUGAUCAGGCUGCUUCUUCCGCCCGGUCAAAGUCAAACUCGGCGCAAUCGAUGGCUCACCUUCCUUGAAAGAAGAGAUUCCGUAGAUGGUUAAGCACAUGCUAAGGAUGAUGACAAGGCCAGCCGCGGCUAAAGAACCAGCCUGGCCAGCGUAAACUGUGUUCCUUAAUGGACCAGCCUUGACGAAUGGGCCGACUAAGAAGAAACCAUGAGCUAGACCUACUUCGACACCGCGAAGGAGCGGGUUGACCGCAGUACGGUAGCCAGGGAGGUUGGAAAGGUACCACGCGAUCAAAGGACUAGAUGUCACAGGAGUUUCCAAGCUUCCAAUGAAUGGAUCACCAUUGAUUGGUUGAAUCACUUGAAAUGUUGGCUGCCAAUUUCCAUAUUUAUUGUUAGACCACUAUACAUAUAAUCACAAUUGCAUAUGUUUAUAACCAAUAUUUGUCACACUUGUAACUCCUAAGUUCCAUGGAAGAGGUUCUAUAGUCUAAUACCAAAACAUAAACUAGAACAUGGCCAAUCUAUGUAUAUUGUUAUGUCACGUGUAAAGACAGAACAAAGAUACCUUGUCGGAUUUAACAGCACGGACGGUGAAGGGAGAGACUCUUUUGGUCGGAGAAACACCAAAAGGAGCACCGGAG